UGGUGACGAGACGAGACGGGAGAAGAGGAGAGGCGAGGCGAGGCCGCCCCGGUGCAGCAUCCAGAAUAGUGGUGUCAUCAGAGACCUGUGCAUUCCUCUUACAGAGGCAUGAUAUCCCAAAAAUAGUGUCCCUGGACCUGGGUGAUGAGGACCUACGAUAUUUGCCUUCAAAGGAUAGAGUUUUGUGGGGGAAAACCAAAAUGAACCCUUUCUUUUUUCUGGGUUUUGGACAUUCUCAUCUAGUCUACUUCUGGAAUAGAAGUCUACCUUUCAACUCAACAAAUGAGACAUACUGCUACAGCACUGCCCAGGGCAGCACGGUGCUCCAAGGAGUAACUUUUGGUGGAAUCCCAACUGUCCUGCUGCUUGAUGUAACCUUCUUUUUUAUUUUAAUAUUACUGUUUUCCAUUAUAAGAAAGAGAUUCUGGGACUACGGUCGUGUUGCUCUGGUGUCAGAAGCUGAAAGUGAAUCAAGAUACAACCGAUUGUCAACAUCUUCGUCAGUACCUGAAGAUCUUGAAUAUGAUAGGGGGUUUUGUUCUUGGGUGACAGCUGCUUUUCGCAUGCAUGAUGACGAGAUUCAUGAGAGAUGUGGUGAAGAUGCCAUACAUUACCUUGCCUUCCAGCGUCACAUCAUCUGUUUGUUGAUUGCUGUCAGCAUUUUGUCUGUGUGUGUCAUAUUGCCUGUCAACCUAUCAGGUGAUCUACUUGAUAAAGAUCCCUAUAGUUUUGGAAGAACAACUAUAGUAAACUUGCAAACUGGUAAUAAUCUUCUUUGGCUGCACACCAUUUUUGCUGUUGUUUACCUGAUUCUAACUGUUGUCUUCAUGAGACAUCACAUGAAGUAUGUCACAUAUAAAGAAGAAAACAUAGUUAAGUGCACAUUGUUUAUAACUGGUCUUCCAAAAAAUGCAAAAGAAGAGACGAUACAAGGCCAUUUCACAACUGCCUACCCAACCUGCACUGUGCUGGAGGUCCAGCUGUGUUAUGAUGUAGCCAAACUUAUUCAUCUCUUCAAAAAAAGAAAACAGGCAGAAAAAAGCCUGACUUACUAUGAACACCUGCAUCAGAAGUAUGGCAAGCGGGUCCAAAUCAACCCUAAGCCAUGUGGUCAGUUCUGCUGUUGUGAAAUGAGAGGAUGUGAAAGGGAGGAUGCUGUAGAUUAUUAUACCAAAGUUAGAAAUGAACUGAUGGAAGAAUAUUCAAAAGAGGAACAAGCUGUUCAUAAUAACCCACUGGGAAUGGCUUUUGUAACAUUUCAAGAGAAAUCCAUGGCAACCUAUAUCCUUAAGGACUUCAAUGCCUGCAAAUGUCAGAGUAUUAAGUGUAAAGGAGAACCCCAGCCAUCGUCCUACAGUAGGGAGCUAUGUGUAUCAAACUGGGAGGUUACAUAUGCUCCUUAUCCUGAGAAUAUUUGUUGGAAAAAUCUUUCAGUGCGUGGACUGAAAUGGUGGUUUAGAUGGGCUUGCAUUAAUUUGCUUCUUUUUAUUGUACUGUUUUUUCUUACUACUCCUUCCAUAAUCAUCUCAACCAUGGACAAGUUCAAUGUCACUAAACCUAUUCACUACCUUAAUAAUCCCAUCAUCAGUCAGUUUUUCCCAACGCUCUUACUCUGGUCCUUCUCAGCUUUGCUACCAACAAUUGUAUAUUACUCAACUUUGCUGGAGUCCCACUGGACAAAAUCUGCAGAGAACAGAAUAAUGAUGCAUAAAGUCUACAUAUUUUUGAUCUUCAUGGUAUUGAUUCUGCCCUCCCUUGGUCUGACCAGCCUUGAUUUUUUUUUCCGUUGGCUGUUUGACAGAGAAUCAUCUGAUUCUGCAGUUAGGCUGGAAUGUGUCUUUUUGCCUGACCAGGGAGCCUUCUUUGUGAACUACGUGAUUGCCUCUGCUUUUGUUGGCAAUGGGAUGGAGUUGCUGCGCCUGCCUGGGCUCAUCCUUUACACCAUACGCAUGAUAAUGGCCAAGUCCACAGCAGAAAGGAAAAAUAUUAAACAGCAACAAGCAUUUGAAUAUGAAUUUGGAGCAAUGUAUGCCUGGAUGUUGUGUGUGUUCACUGUCAUCAUGGCCUAUAGCAUUACGUGUCCCAUCAUUGUUCCAUUUGGUUUAAUAUACAUACUCCUGAAGCACAUGGUUGACCGUUAUAACCUUUACUAUGCAUAUCUCCCUGCCAAGCUAGAGAAGAAGAUGCACUUUGCGGCUGUGAAUCAGGCCCUUGCAGCUCCAAUUCUCUGCCUUUUUUGGCUCUAUUUUUUCUCAUUUUUGCGGCUAGGCUUUAAAGCACCUACAACCAUGUUUACUUUCCUCGUUGUCAACAUCACAAUUAUCAUUUGCUUGGCUUAUACUUGUUUUGGCUGUUUCAAGUACCUGAGCCCACUGAAUUAUAAGAUAGAAGACGCGCAAGGUGAAAGAGGAAACGACACAGAUGUACCAGCCAUCCCAACAUCUUCUAUGUACGUCCCCCGAGUUUUGCAUCCUCAUUGUACAGAAAGGACGAUACUUGCCCAUAAGGAGCAACAAUCGUAUGGCACCAUGGACAACACUUGUUCACAGGCAGAAGGAAUCAUAAACUAUUCUGCUGGACCUGCAAUUACUGAGCAGGCACCGAGAGUGUCUUGCAGGACUGCUUCCCGAGACCAGCACUCUGGACAAAUGCUGAGUAGGAGACCUGCCCUGCUGCAAGAAGGACACUGCAGAGCUUUGAUAACCCUGAUGACAAGCCGUGUCUGUUAGUUGAAGGUCUCCCUGGUGACUGAGCCUGGGUGAGCUGCUGUAACAUAAGAUCACAAAACAGAAUCCCGAUGUGCAUCCUUUCAUCAAGGCUGGGCCCCUUCAAGCAGAUCUGCUCCAGAAGGGAGAGUGAAACUGCUUCGAGCCUUCUACUCACAUCUGAAAAUCGGUUUGGCAGCAUUAGAAUCUAUCUGAAACAUGUUACUGGAGAAAUAAGCAACUGGGAAGACUUUCAACCUAACUUCUAGAAACCUGUUUUGGCCCAAACACUAUGCAACCAAGCUAUUACGGCUUGAAUGAUGCACAAAACCCACAACUCCGAGUCGUGCUAUUAAACCAUAUCAGUGCAAACCAGCUAGAGCAUGGGUGAUGCAAAAGCUCUAAGAGACCAUGCUGCUUUCAGACACAUGCCAAAGGUGAUCAUGGCUUAGAGUUAAUUACAUUUUCUCUCCAGGGUCGGUUUACUAGCAGACUACAAGGUAGCUCAGAGCGCUUAGCACGCUCUGACACUGUUAGAUACAAGGUUUAUUGAUUAAUAAUUACUCUGCAGGAGAAAUAACAGCUCAAUUUAGAAGUGGUGUUUCCAUUUAUUUUUGUUCUGUUACAUAAACUCCCCCAUUAGGUUUUACUGAAAAGGCACCCCUCUGCCGCAGCGUCUUUGUUUACAGAUCAGUUUGCCUGAAGAGCAGCAAUUGCAGGUUACUCCUCCCAACAGAUCUGAAGGAAAACAACACACUGAAGGACUUAAAAAACCUCAUGAAACCUGUAACAGGGUCCCCUAGCACUGACAGCCUAUAAGGGACUAAGACGUGGCACAGUCCCAGAAGCUUCACCCUCAGUCCAUGUCCUACCAUCUCCGGGCAUUACUUUUUUGUCAUUAUGUAGCACCAGAAACAGAGAGAAAACCAUGAAGACAUAUGUGUAAGAAAAGCUUCCUAUUUGUGUAGUUUAUGGAGCAUUAUGACAACCUUCAAAAUAGCUUAGCAACACAGGAAUUGCUUUGCAUACAACUGAUAAC
This is an RNA transcript of Haliaeetus leucocephalus (bald eagle), 3744 nucleotides long. It is a transcript of the gene named transmembrane protein 63A, with no coding region annotated. The record is from RefSeq and is a predicted model, not a curated record. The transcript has 27 exons. Lineage: Eukaryota; Metazoa; Chordata; Aves; Accipitriformes; Accipitridae.